RNAcentral lists this unclassified non-coding RNA (317 nucleotides) under uncultured bacterium. RNAcentral's name for it is "contains 16S-23S intergenic spacer region". The record is from RNAcentral.
UCCUGCAUUUUGGCGCCGGCGUCAUCCGCUACGAUCACACUGACUCCGCGCCGCCUUCGGUGCUCGAGUACGAUGCCGUGGGUCAGCUCGGUUUACGGGGAAGCUCGACCACUCCGGCGGGAAUGCCUCGCAUUGACAAUAUCUCAGGAAAUCAGGGAGGCCUGUCGGGUAACCUGGGACCCACAAAUGCGAACCGCUACCUGGACACCAAGCCAACCGGCGUGGCAAGCGCCACUCUGAUCCGGGGAAAUCACACCAUUAAGUUCGGUGGCGAAUGGGCUCGCAACCGAUGGACCGAUCUGAAUACACGCGGCGCG